This 253-nucleotide ribosomal RNA is filed under the name uncultured bacterium. RNAcentral's name for it is "partial 16S ribosomal RNA". It matches the Rfam family "Bacterial small subunit ribosomal RNA", at positions 524 to 776 of the family's 1533-position model. The record is from RNAcentral.
UACGGAGGGUGCAAGCGUUGUUCGGAAUCACUGGGCGUAAAGCGCGUGUAGGCGGCCUCCUCAGUCGGAUGUGAAAGCCCGGGGCUCACCCCCGGAAGUGCAUUGGAUACUGGGAGGCUGGAGUACCGGAGAGGGGGGUGGAAUUCCUGGUGUAGCGGUGAAAUGCGUAGAGAUCAGGAGGAACACCGGUGGCGAAGGCGGCCCUCUGGACGGAUACUGACGCUGAGACGCGACAGCGUGGGGAGCAAACAGG